This is a long non-coding RNA of Xiphophorus couchianus (Monterrey platyfish), 488 nucleotides long. RefSeq lists it as uncharacterized. NCBI's taxonomy places the organism in Eukaryota, Metazoa, Chordata, Actinopteri, Cyprinodontiformes, Poeciliidae. The transcript is spliced from 3 exons. The record is from RefSeq and is a predicted model, not a curated record.
UUCUUUGGUUUUCUUUGUGGGUUCCUUUUGCUGCUAAUCACCAUUCAGCCACCAGGUAGUGCCAGAAUCACCUCUCUCCGGAGGUUGGUGUCGUCAUCUUGCACACCUGAGUUUCAUCAGCUCAUCAGGCAGCCUGUACAAGAGGAGCGGACUGCCAGCACUUCGAUGCCCGAGUGUUAGCCAGUAACGGUCCUCCUGGAAUUCCUGGUUGGCAGUCACGCCGUCCCUCUGUCUCCGCUGCACCUGAGCCUACCUGUCCGCCCUCUGUUCCACUUCCUCGUUGCCUUCUGGAUUUCUGUGGCUGAGCACUGGACUAUCUGGACCUACAAAGUAGCCAAGCCCCCUGACACUUCAGCAAACCCUUCCUAACUCCAAACCUCCGUCUAACAAUGAGCCGAGCGUUUCUGUGAGCCCGUUUCUCCCCUGGACGAGACCCGUCGCUUCACUAUUUUUCUAGUUUGUGUUCUCAAUAAAUUCACUUUAUUAUA